This 2863-nucleotide long non-coding RNA is filed under the name Nicotiana tabacum (common tobacco). RNAcentral describes it as "long non-coding RNA (NTAB_LNC017975)". The record is from RNAcentral. Lineage: Eukaryota; Viridiplantae; Streptophyta; Magnoliopsida; Solanales; Solanaceae.
GGACAGUGAAUGAUAAGUCUGGUCGGGUGUGAGUGAGAUAGUUAAGUUUGCCAAGCAGAUGAUGAUAUAAGGUGGGAUCCUGCACUGGUUCCCCUGUGUGAGCAGACAAACGAGUAGAUGAAUCGAGUGGAGAAGAAACAUGUGACAAAUGGAGAGAAUCAAAUUCUUGGAGAAGGUCUAAAGUGAAUUUGCGUUGAGAAAGGAGGAGUCCAUCUGUUUCUCGGACAACUUCCAUGCCUAGAAAAAAAUGUAAGUCCCCGAGAUCUUUUAUUUUGAAUUCUUGAUUGAGAAAUUCUUUCAAAGCAUGUAGUUCUGUGUUGUCAUUUCCUGUCAUGAGCAUGUCAUCCACGUAGAUAGCCACUAUAGAAAUGGAGGAAGCUGACCUUUUAAAAACAGGGAAUAGUCGUUGAAUGAGUGAGUGAAUCCCUUAAAAUUCAAAGCAGUGGUAAGUUUAGCAUACCACUGACGAGAUGCUUGUCGCAGUCCAUAAAUUGAUUUCUUUAACUUGCACGCAUGAGUAGGUGAAGUAGGUACAACCCCGGAUGGGAAUUUCAUGUACACUUCUUCAUUUAGAUCUCCAUGUAGGAAAGCGUUAUUCACAUCGAGCUGGUAUAGACCCCAACCUUUCUUUACAGCAGUGGCUAGUAUGCAUCUGAUUGUGGUCAUCUUCACCACAGGUGAAAAAGUUUCAUUGUAGUCUAUUCCCUCUUUUUGUAUGUCUCCUCUAAUGACCAAAUCUUGCCUUUAGUCUUUCCACACUCCCAUCUGAAUGGUGUUUAACUUUAUACACCCAUUUGCAUGGUAAAGCUUUCCUCCCGGGUGGUAAUUCAACCACUUCCCAAGUCUUAUUAAGUUCAAGUGCCUCAAGCUCUUUAUUCAUUACUUCUUGCCACCCUGGGUGAUGUGUUGCAUGUAAAUAGUCUGUAGGUUCUUGUAUAUUGGACAAUGUGUUUAGCAUAUGCUGAUUGGUAGAAGAUAAUCCACUAAAGGAUAUACAAGUAGGCGUAACUAGUGUGAGAAAGCAAGAGUUGCUAACAUCUGUGAGUUGGAGUGCAUUACAGAUAAAAUCCUUGAGAUAAGAUGGAGUUGUGUGUGGUCUGGUAGAUUUCCUAAUAAGAACAUCCAUCAUAGAAUCAGAAGCUAAAGAAGGAAAAACUGGUGCAGAUGUAUGUGGUUGACUAGAUGUUACUGGAGAAUCUGGAGAGAGACUAGAAGGAGAGAUAGAGGCACUAGGUGUAAUAGGAUGAUUUGAAGAAAUGGGGGGAGAAUAGAAGCCACUUAAUGAUUCAGUAGCCUCUUGGGAAGCUUUAGUGUGAGGUCUGAUAGUAAAAGGGAAAGGUUCAGUCUGAUGACUUGCAGAAGUUGGAGCAGUGGGUAAAGAAAUCUCAGAAGAAGAACUAGACUUAAUAGAAGUAAAAUGGAAAGAACUCUUCAUGAAAUACAACAUCUCUAGAAAUGAAAGGCUUCAAUCUCGAGAUUCAACACUUUGUAACCCUUUUUUCCAUGAGGAUAACCUAAGAACACACAAGGCAUAGCCCUUGGUUCAAACUUAGUUCUUUGAUUUGAGACAGUAGAACAAAACAUAAACACCCAAAACAUCUAAGGUUAGAGUACUUUAGUUUGCUUGAAAAAAGAACUUCAUAAGGAGUCUUAAGCUUUAAGACACUUGAAGGAAAUCUAUUGAUCAAAUAGGUUGCUGUAAGAAGGCAGUCACCCCAGUAUGAUAUAGGCAGGUGUGAUUGGUAUAAUAAGGCUCUGGAUGUCUCUAAAAGAUGUCUGUGCUUUCUUUCCACAACUCCAUUUUGUUGUGGUAUGGACACACAAGUGGUUUGAUGAAUAAUACCUAGUGACUCAAAAAAUUCUGAUUAAACUUUACCACUUCCUAAUUCAAAAGCAUUAUCCGACCUUAUAGUUUUCACCUUGCUGUUAAACUGUCUUUCUACCAUAGCUAAAAAACCUUUUAGAAUAGUGAAUGCAUUGGAUUUGUUAGUUAGUAGGUAGGUCCAUGUGCCUCUACUGAAGUCAUCAACAAUGGUAAGAAAAUACCUAAAGCCAUCAUAUGUAGCACUAUUGUAUGGUCCCCAGAUAUCCACAUGAAUUAACUCAAACACCUUCUUGGUAGAAAUAGAACUAGAGGGAAAAGGAAGUUUGGACUGCCUUGCCAUAGGACAAAUAACACAUGGAGUGAAGAAUUUGGAAGACUUGGAUAUAGAAACUGAUGAAACAUUUUUCAUAUUGCUAAAGGGCAUAUGGCCUAAUCUGUAGUGCCACACCUUUUCUUUUACAAUUGAAUCAGAAAAACUAAAACAUGUACGCAAACCAUGAUUGGAAACAGAAUUUCUUCUUGGAAUAAAAACACUUCUAAACUUAGGUGAACUGGAUCUGAGAAUGUAGAGCCCCCCUUCCUGUUUACCAAUCUCCAGUGGGCUCUUCACUGAAGGGCCCUGUAGAAGAAAACAUGAAAAUGGUGUGAAUAAAACAUAUUGCUUGAGUUGUCUGCACAACUUGUGCACAUACAACAGAUUAUAUUUAAAGGAUGGAAUGUAAAGAACAUUUCGAAGAAUCAGAUUAGGCAAAAGAGGGACAGUUCUUGAAUGAGUGACCUGAACUUUGUAAGAGUUUGAGAGUUUUACCAUGAGAGGUUUAGCCAAGGUUUUUAAAUCUGUAAAAAAAUCUUUGUUGAAAGACAUAUGUUCUGUUGCUCCACUAUCCAAUAUCCAAGACUCAUUAUUGAUUUGAAUUAAACAGGCUAAGUCUUCAAAUAAAUUGCUCAUACCAGCAUAGCUCACAUUUGCUGCAACAUCAGAGGUUCCUGCACUGUUUUGUCCCACUUUCACUUGCUGAAGAAGCUGCAGCAGCUCAG